UGGGCAAUGAUGAACUGCUGAGUUCUUUC
This 29-nucleotide non-coding RNA is filed under the name Rattus norvegicus (Norway rat). Lineage: Eukaryota; Metazoa; Chordata; Mammalia; Rodentia; Muridae. The record is from RNAcentral.